UUGUCAUCUAUUCCUGGAUUUCUUAGAGGUAAGUGCAGGUCUUAGCUCUCUGUCUGAACUUUCAUAAGCGUUGCUAUCAACUUCAUUAGAAACAGAAAUAAAGUGCAUCUCUUCACCAUCAUUUAUAUGGCAAAGUGAUUUUUAUCGAUAACCGUGUUAUAUCGUGUACCUAUUUCACGUUGAUUAGAUGUUUGAUGUAAAACGGAUAUUCAGCUGUGAAAAACGUCAAAAGAACUUUAUUGGACUUUAGCUGUAUAAACAUUGACUUAUUUGUAACGUAUUACAGCGUACAAUUCGACCCACAUGACAGUUUACUUGUUUAAGUCUUCGUUAAUUCGCUGUAAACACAUUUAAGCUAGUUUGCUAGUUAGGGGUCGUCUGCAAACUACUUGACACUGGCAAAAGACUAUCAAUGCUUUCCCAAUCUUUUUUUCUUUAUUAAAAAAUUAACACCGUUAUACAUUUACGUUUUUAAAAGAUACAAACACGCUGACACAGUAAAAUAAGUAAUGGUAUUGGUAUAAUCGUGACUUGUCUCUGUACUAUAUUGGAGUGUAAUUUUCCACAAUCCCUUGAUUGUUUGCCAUGUGUGCGGCACGCAGACUGAUUUGCUCAUGAUUGUUAUACUGGAACGGAACGAAGAAGACAGUGAAAGUGGAUUUGAGAAUGCCCCGUACGAAGAAAAGCGUGAGGUCACAGACAGCCAAGAAGAGGAUCGCGGACCGGAUGGCUGCUGUUCCUGAAGAGGCUCUGCCACCUCUUAAAAAAUUGGCAGAAAUAACUGAACAUUGUGUAUCACACAAUGGGCCUAAAACUGAAAAGAACCCUUUAAAGAACCCUUUAAAGAACCCUGAAAAGAACCCUGAAAAGUACCCUGAACCAAAGUCUCAGAAGGAUUCUAAAAUGACAAUGAAUGAUGUUUUUGAUUUGUUUCCACAGAAACCCUACAUCACAGGCUCUUUCCAUCAAGGAGAUGCUCGUUUUGUGAAUUAUGGCAAGCAAUGUGGUGUUAACAGUUUAACUGCAAUCCUGAUGUGUAAAAUGAAAAAUGUGUUGCAGUGGAGCACCAGUGACAUUAAUUCUGUCUUAACGCAUGGGGACCAGUUUUAUUCUGAUAUGAACCUUGCAGGAAACAUCAGUGAUGACAUCAAUGGCUACAUAUAUAUUGAGGAGCUGCCGAAAGUACACACAUUGAAUGAUUGUCCUUUCUCAAUAAACUAUGGUACAACCAUA
Molecule: long non-coding RNA, 1233 nt
Organism: Triplophysa dalaica
Lineage: Eukaryota; Metazoa; Chordata; Actinopteri; Cypriniformes; Nemacheilidae
Exons: 3
Source: RefSeq, a predicted model, not a curated record